This is a long non-coding RNA of Cavia porcellus (domestic guinea pig), 450 nucleotides long. RefSeq lists it as uncharacterized. The record is from RefSeq and is a predicted model, not a curated record. Lineage: Eukaryota; Metazoa; Chordata; Mammalia; Rodentia; Caviidae. The transcript has 2 exons.
GUGUUUGUGAGACACAGUCUCAGGCUGGCCUCGAGCUCAUGGAAAUCCUCCUGCCUCAGCCUCCCAAAUGCUGGAUUACAGUUCCUGGCACAAACUCCCAAACCCUUGGAAUUUCCUGUGUGACAGUCUUUGGAUGUUCACGAUAAGCCUCUGUCAACUGGACCUGAGACUGAGUUAAUGAGGUGACUCACAGUGGCCCCUGGGAAGUUCACCGUGAUGGCCAUUUGCUAGAGGAACCAAGCACUCAAUGAGAGGAUUGAUCUCCAACAACCAUAGAUACAAUCAGUCAGGCCUAUGCAAGGGAACCUCCACAAAAACAACCGCGCAUGGUGGUAUACACCUGAAAUCUCAAUUACUCAAAGGCUGAGGCAGGAGGGUUGCAAAUUAGAACCCAUCUUGGGCAACUUAAUGACUUAGCAAAACCUUAUUUCAAAUAAAAUAUUUUAAAAA